UACGUAGGGUGCGAGCGUUAAUCGGAAUUACUGGGCGUAAAGCGUGCGCAGGCGGUUCGUUGUGUCGGCGGGGAAAGCCCCGGGCUUAACCUGGGAAUGGCCGUUGAAACUGGCGAACUGGAGUGUGGCAGUGGGGGGUGGAAUUCCGCGUGUAGCAGUGAAAUGCGUAGAGAUGCGGAGGAACACCGAUGGCGAAGGCAGCCCCCUGGGCUAACACUGACGCUGAUGCACGAAAGCGUGGGGAGCAAACAGG
Molecule: ribosomal RNA, 253 nt
Filed under: uncultured bacterium
Lineage: Bacteria
Description: partial 16S ribosomal RNA
Rfam family: Bacterial small subunit ribosomal RNA
Source: RNAcentral